UGUGGCUCUGUGGUAGAGUGCUUGCCUUGAAUGCAUAAGGCCCUGGGUUUGAUCCCCAGUA
RNAcentral lists this transfer RNA (61 nucleotides) under Fukomys damarensis (Damara mole-rat). It matches the Rfam family "tRNA", at positions 6 to 65 of the family's 71-position model. From Rfam's summary of the family: Transfer RNA (tRNA) molecules are approximately 80 nucleotides in length. Their secondary structure includes four short double-helical elements and three loops (D, anti-codon, and T loops). Lineage: Eukaryota; Metazoa; Chordata; Mammalia; Rodentia; Bathyergidae. The record is from Rfam by way of RNAcentral.